This 1630-nucleotide small RNA is filed under the name Pan troglodytes (chimpanzee). Its description in RNAcentral is "retained intron". The stretch from base 503 to 634 matches the Rfam family "Small nucleolar RNA SNORA44". The record is from RNAcentral. Lineage: Eukaryota; Metazoa; Chordata; Mammalia; Primates; Hominidae.
UUACUAGCUGCAAGCCUCUGCCUGCCUUCCUGCGCGCCGUUCCCCGCUAGUCGCUGCUGCUGGCGCGCACUCGCCGGGUUUUUCCUCCCACGGCCUCGAGAUGGUCGUGAAUGUGGCACGGAGGAGCCGGGCCUUCCAACCCGGUGGGCCCGAGCUCCGAAAGGCCCCCUCGGCAGUGAGAGGGGCGGGAGCCCGCGGGGGCCGCGCCCUUCUCUCGCUUCGGACUGCGCAACGCUGCGCUCUGUGCUGACAGGCGGAUAAAACGGUCCCAUCAAGGCUGAGAAAAAGCACACCAGAUAUUGGCACAGCGUGGGCAGUGGGGCCUACAGGAUGACUUAGUCUACAGAGAUCCCGGCGUACUUAAGCAGAUGAAGACUCUUAAGAUGACAGAAGGUGAUUUUUCUGGUGAUCGAGGAGUUCCGGGGUCAUGACAGUGAUGAAAUGCAGGGGACCUGGUAGGUUUCUUUUGGAGACUGACUGGGGGCUGCCUGGUGGGACAGAACAGCAUGUUUCCAAGGGCUGUGGCUGGUCAUAGCCAUGGGAUCUCCAACUGCAUGCAAGAGCAACCUGGAAAGACUUUGACAGCGCAGGUCAGUACAAUACCUGCAAGCUGCCACUCAGCUUUCCUAUAAUGUUUCAGGACCAGGGCUGGAAGCCUUCCAUGUGUCAACUUCAAUGUAGAUGGGUUUUUUUUUUUUUUUUUUUUUUUUUUUUUUGAGACGGAGUCUUGCUCUGUCACCCAGGCUGCUGGAGUGCAGUGGCAUGAUCUCGGCUCACGGCAACCUCUGCCUCCCGGGUUCAAGCGACUCUCCUGCCUCAUCCUCCCGAGUAGCUGGGAUUACAGGUGCCCACCAUCACACCCAGCUAAUUUUCUUGUAUUUUUAGUAGAGAUGGUUUUCACCAUGUUGGCUAGAUGGGUCUCGAACUUCUGACCUCAGGUGAUCCGCCCGACUCGGCCUCCCCUUCCAAGGUGCUGGGAUUACAGGCAUGAGCCACCGCUCCUGGCCAGUUUAGUUUUCACACUAAGCUUUUUGUUCUGCAGGUUGCCCCCAAGUUUCCUGGCAGUGUGUGAUACUGAGGAGGUGAGCUUGUUUCUGGAGCUGUGCUUUAAGGUAAAGUUGAUCAGCUUAAUCCUCCUGAUCCCUUUCCCAUCGGAUCUGAACACUGGUCUUGGUGGUCGUAAAAGGAGGAAAAGUAAUAGUGAAGCUGGCCUAAAUGUUGUAAUCUGGUAUAUGGCAUGUGGGCUAGUUUCAGACAGGUUCAGAGAUGGUUGGAUCUCUGAAAUUGUAAAAUGAAGUAUAAUCUUAGGCUAAGGGAAGGAUGCGUGUGAAGUUCUGGAGGUUGGUAUGAUAAUAGCUGACCUAUUACUGCAUUUGGGAGGGAUCUGUCAUAGCUUCCUUGCCUCUUAAUUAAGGGUGGUGUUUUUUUCUUUUAGAUUCAUGUUACAUGUAAAGCUGUCCUCAUUUGUGACUAUGGACCUAUGGAGUUGGGACAAUCUCUAUGGGAAGCAGAAGGCAAGGACCCCAGUCAUUUUAGGUAGAAACAACAGCAUGCUAAUGCAAAAAAUUAUGCAGUGUGCUACUGAACUUCAGAGGUGAUCAAUAAAAGAAUAAAAAGACUAAUAAAAGUA